RNAcentral lists this unclassified non-coding RNA (301 nucleotides) under Hevea brasiliensis (rubber tree). Lineage: Eukaryota; Viridiplantae; Streptophyta; Magnoliopsida; Malpighiales; Euphorbiaceae. The record is from RNAcentral.
CCUGAAUUGAAUGAUAGUUAAUGUGAUUUGUCAAUAGCAAAUAAAUAGUAUGAUAAAAGGGAAGAGGGUAGGAAAACAACGAGUGAUCAAGAUUUAAAACAGAAUUUUUGCAUGUUCAGAAAUUGAGACUCUACAAUUCAUAAAUAUUCUGCAUGUUAUCCUUAAUUUUUUGGAAAAUGCACAAAUAUGACUCUUUUGUGUGCGUGUGUGUGGACGGGUGUAGGUAUGGGUCUUUGCAAAAGUCAUUAUGUGAUUGUGUUGACAGAUAACUAGUAAUUUUAAUUUCCUUAAAAUCAUUAUA